AGGGAGAAACCCGAAAAUCCAAAGAGUAGGAA
RNAcentral lists this non-coding RNA (32 nucleotides) under unclassified sequences. RNAcentral's name for it is "DUF805b RNA". It matches the Rfam family "DUF805b RNA". From Rfam's summary of the family: Bacteroidetes, Chlorobi (1 example), Proteobacteria. The record is from RNAcentral.